AUCACUUAGCAUCUUAUUAAAAUGCAGAUUCUGAUUCAAGGGAUCUGGGUGGAUCCUGAGAUUCUGCAUUUCUAACAAGCUCUCAGGUGAUACCGA
Molecule: microRNA precursor, 96 nt
Filed under: Loxodonta africana (African savanna elephant)
Lineage: Eukaryota; Metazoa; Chordata; Mammalia; Proboscidea; Elephantidae
Description: mir-544 microRNA precursor family
Rfam family: mir-544 microRNA precursor family
Source: Rfam by way of RNAcentral